This 453-nucleotide long non-coding RNA is filed under the name Homo sapiens (human). Its description in RNAcentral is "non-protein coding lnc-NMBR-8:1". Lineage: Eukaryota; Metazoa; Chordata; Mammalia; Primates; Hominidae. The record is from RNAcentral.
UAAAUGAAGUCUAGGGAACUCCAAGGCUACUGACAGUAGGUGGGAAAGAGACAUAGAUGAGAGCAGAUACUUCCUAUUCUCUAGGACCUCCCUGCUUCAUGAGUGCAAGGGAAUACUAAGAACAACACUAUGCCCAGACAUUUGACAACUUAGGUGAAAAGAAAAUUCCUUGAAAGGCACAACUAUCAAAACAUACUCAAGGAUAAAUAAAUAGCCUGAAUAGCUUUAUAUAUGUGCUUUAAAUACAUUGAAUUAUUCAUUAAAAUCCUUCCAAAAGAGAAAACGUAGGUGGUUAUAUUGGUGAGUUCUACCAAACAUGUAAUGAAGAAACAAUACUAAUUCUACAUAAUCUCUUCUAAUAUAACAGGCGAGGAGAAAAUGCUCCCUCACUCCUUUUACCAGGUCACCAUUACCAUCUUACCAAAACCAGAAAAAGACAUUUCAAAAUGAGAA